RNAcentral lists this transfer RNA (72 nucleotides) under Camelus bactrianus (Bactrian camel). It matches the Rfam family "tRNA". Rfam says of the family: Transfer RNA (tRNA) molecules are approximately 80 nucleotides in length. Their secondary structure includes four short double-helical elements and three loops (D, anti-codon, and T loops). Further hydrogen bonds mediate the characteristic L-shaped molecular structure. tRNAs have two regions of fundamental functional importance: the anti-codon, which is responsible for specific mRNA codon recognition, and the 3' end, to which the tRNAs corresponding amino acid is attached (by aminoacyl-tRNA synthetases). tRNAs cope with the degeneracy of the genetic code in two manners: having more than one tRNA (with a specific anti-codon) for a particular amino acid; and 'wobble' base-pairing, i.e. permitting non-standard base-pairing at the 3rd anti-codon position. Lineage: Eukaryota; Metazoa; Chordata; Mammalia; Artiodactyla; Camelidae. The record is from Rfam by way of RNAcentral. RNAcentral also lists the same sequence under 2 other names.
GAGGGUAUAGCUCAGUGGUAGAGUGCAUGCUUAGCAUGCAUGAGGUCCUGGGUUCAAUCUCCAGUAUCUCCU